UCGCAGGCUGUUGUCAGCGAGGCUUAGCCUGUCGUGGCUCUGUCCUUUCCUAACGCGUCUGCUAGAGAGAACUGAUAUGGUUUGAGGCCCUGCUGUGUUUCCUCCAUGGCAGGGUUAUAGGUAAACUUCAGACAUUA
Esox lucius (northern pike) is the source of this 137-nucleotide small nucleolar RNA. Ensembl annotates it as small nucleolar RNA SNORA9. The record is from Ensembl. NCBI's taxonomy places the organism in Eukaryota, Metazoa, Chordata, Actinopteri, Esociformes, Esocidae.